AACGUAGGUGGCAAGCGUUAUCCGGAUUUACUGGGCGUAAAGCGUGUGCAGGCGGAGUGCCAAGUGAGAUAUGAAAUCCCGGUGCUUAACACAGGGAUGGUAACUCAGACUGGUAUUCUGGAGAGUGAGAGAGGGAUGUGGAAUUCCGGGUGUAGUGGUGAAAUGCGUAGAGAUCCGGAGGAACACCAGAGGCGAAAGCGGCAUCCUGGCUCACUUCUGACGCUCAGACACGACAGCAUGGGGAGCGAACGGG
Molecule: ribosomal RNA, 253 nt
Filed under: uncultured bacterium
Lineage: Bacteria
Description: partial 16S ribosomal RNA
Rfam family: Bacterial small subunit ribosomal RNA
Source: RNAcentral